Molecule: ribosomal RNA, 252 nt
Filed under: uncultured bacterium
Lineage: Bacteria
Description: partial 16S ribosomal RNA
Rfam family: Bacterial small subunit ribosomal RNA
Source: RNAcentral
CGGGUGGGGAGUCAGCGGCGAACGGGGUGAGUAACACGUGGGCAACCUGCCCCUAGCUCUGGGAUAACUCCGGGAAACCGGGGCUAAUACCGGAUACGACUUCCUACGGCAUCUUGGGAAGUGGAAAGUUUUUCGGCUAGGGAUGGGCCCGCGGCCUAUCAGCUUGUUGGUGGGGUAAUGGCCCACCAAGGCGACGACGGGUAGCCGGCCUGAGAGGGCGACCGGCCACACUGGGACUGAGACACGGCCCAG